GACGAACGCUGGCGGCGUGCUUAACACAUGCAAGUCGAACGGAAAGGCCCUGCUUUGUGGGGUGCUCGAGUGGCGAACGGGUGAGUAACACGUGAGUAACCUGCCCUUGACUUUGGGAUAACUUCAGGAAACUGGGGCUAAUACCGGAUAGGAGCUCCUGCUGCAUGGUGGGGGUUGGAAAGUUUCGGCGGUUGGGGAUGGACUCGCGGCUUAUCAGCUUGUUGGUGGGGUAGUGGCUUACCAAGGCUUUGACGGGUAGCCGGCCUGAGAGGGUGACCGGCCACAUUGGGACUGAGAUACGGCCCAGACUCCUACGGGAGGCAGCAGUGGGGAAUAUUGCACAAUGGGCGGAAGCCUGAUGCAGCAACGCCGCGUGCGGGAUGAAGGCCUUCGGGUUGUAAACCGCCUUCGCCUGUGACGAAGCGUGAGUGACGGUAAUGGGUAAAGAAGCACCGGCUAACUACGUG
This 467-nucleotide ribosomal RNA is filed under the name uncultured bacterium. RNAcentral's name for it is "partial 16S ribosomal RNA". It matches the Rfam family "Bacterial small subunit ribosomal RNA", at positions 28 to 507 of the family's 1533-position model. The record is from RNAcentral.